Molecule: ribosomal RNA, 263 nt
Filed under: uncultured bacterium
Lineage: Bacteria
Description: partial 16S ribosomal RNA
Rfam family: Bacterial small subunit ribosomal RNA
Source: RNAcentral
GUCCACGCCGUAAACGAUGUCGACUAGCCGUUGGGAUCCUUGAGAUCUUAGUGGCGCAGCUAACGCAUUAAGUCGACCGCCUGGGGAGUACGGCCGCAAGGUUAAAACUCAAAUGAAUUGACGGGGGCCCGCACAAGCGGUGGAGCAUGUGGUUUAAUUCGAAGCAACGCGAAGAACCUUACCAGGCCUUGACAUCCUAUGAACUUUCCAGAGAUGGAUUGGUGCCUUCGGGAGCAUAGAGACAGGUGCUGCAUGGCUGUCGU